RNAcentral lists this ribosomal RNA (253 nucleotides) under uncultured bacterium. RNAcentral's name for it is "partial 16S ribosomal RNA". It matches the Rfam family "Bacterial small subunit ribosomal RNA", at positions 524 to 776 of the family's 1533-position model. The record is from RNAcentral.
UACGGAGGGUGCAAGCGUUAUUCGGAAUUACUGGGCGUAAAGCGAGUGUAGGCGGUUUUGUAAGUCUGAUGUGAAAGCCCUCGACUCAAUCGAGGAAGUGCAUUGGAUACUGCAAAGCUAGAGGAUAGGAGAGGAGAACGGAAUUCCUGGUGUAGAGGUGAAAUUCGUAGAUAUCAGGAGGAACAACGGUGGCGAAGGCGGUUCUCUGGACUAUAACUGACGCUAAGACUCGAAAGCGUGGGGAGCAAACAGG